GUAGUCGAUGGCAAUGGCGUGCCGGAUGUCGUCCACCUGCAGCACGAUGUCGGUGAAGUCCGGCGUGUCCAGCGAGAUCCUCCGUAGGUCCGUCCGCCGGGCCAGCAGCAGCACCUCCUCGGCUCCUGCCUUACACGUCCUGCCGUUGUCCUGCAGCUGCACACCCGUGGGGCAGGCGCAUGUGUAGAAAGGCUCGCUUGGGGACAGCAGGCACAGGUGGGAGCAGCCGCCAUUGUCCUCCUCACAGCGAGUGUGGAAGAAAGGCUGCCGCUCCUGGCUCAGCACCUGGAUGUCCAUGGGUGAGUAGAGGGCACUCAGGAUCUCCUUCCUCUUCCCCCCAGUGCGCUUGU
This 350-nucleotide long non-coding RNA is filed under the name Homo sapiens (human). Its description in RNAcentral is "LNC_000750". The record is from RNAcentral. Lineage: Eukaryota; Metazoa; Chordata; Mammalia; Primates; Hominidae.